AUAAAUAUAUAUAAAUAUUAGUUGAUAUUGUAAAUGUAUAUAUAUAGAUGUAUUGAAUAUGUAUUACCUAAUUAAAAACAUGCAUAUCGUACACUACACUACAAAAAUUUUUACUUUUAAUCAUAAAAUUUGUGACUAAAAGUAAAAAAGUCGUGAUCAAUUAUAAAUCAUUAAAUUCUUAUAUUGUGACUAAAAGGUACGUGGCUAAAGGUAUUAGUCACCAAAAUUACAAUUUAUUGUGACUAAAUGUGUUUUUAGUCACGAUAUAUGCUUGUUGUGACUAAAAGUAAAUUAGUGAUAAUUUGUAUCUAAAUACUAUGUUUUAGUUACAAAUAAUUUUUUGUUGUGACUAAUAGUCACAUUUAGUCACAAAAAAAAUUAUGUUGUAACUAAAAUAUUGUCACUAAAGGUAACUGUUUUUUUGUAGUACAAGAAUUUAUGUAUAUAUAUGACCAAUUUUUCUGGCUUUCUCCCAUGAGUGAGAUGUUGGUUUUCCAAUAGUGAUAGCAUUGUUAAUUGGUAAUUCUUUUCUUCUUCUUUUUAUUCUCUCAAUGGAAGAGCCUAGUCAUGUCCAAGUUUUGGUGGAUGGUGAGGGUUUUCCCUUACAAGAGGAAAAUAUAGAGCUUUUCAGGCACAGUAAUAGUCACUGAGAAACCAAUUUCUUUCGCUUCCUUGGAAACAAUCUCCAUGAUCCUUAUUUCUAAAUGCUAGAAGCAACAAGGUUAGGGGAAAAGGCUCUUAAAAGAGUGGAACAAAGUCCAAAUCUAGUCAGGGACGUUUGGCCAGAAAAAGUGUUCCCCUGUCGAGUAUACCCUUUGAGUUAGCUUGAGGGGAUGUCGAGGACAAUGCUCGAGAUCAGGGAGAUUGUGGGAGAAUUCCAGCUGAUCCUGAUGCAUAGUUUACACCUUUGAGUAUGUCAUAGCCGGUGGUAUUAGCAAAAGGUGGUAUAAAUUCAUCAAACCCUAAAAGUUGACCUUUAAUAAUAAUAUAUAUA
Molecule: long non-coding RNA, 994 nt
Organism: Cannabis sativa
Lineage: Eukaryota; Viridiplantae; Streptophyta; Magnoliopsida; Rosales; Cannabaceae
Exons: 2
Source: RefSeq, a predicted model, not a curated record